GCCAUUCACCAGGGGAGUCCCGGCAAGGGGCUGAGAUACUGCUGGCUUUUGCAGUGACCCGUUGAACCUGAUCCAGUUCAUACUGGCGUAGGGACGGUGCAAGCGCU
Molecule: non-coding RNA, 107 nt
Filed under: Mesorhizobium sp. ORS 3324
Lineage: Bacteria; Pseudomonadati; Pseudomonadota; Alphaproteobacteria; Hyphomicrobiales; Phyllobacteriaceae
Description: TPP
Rfam family: TPP riboswitch aptamer (THI element)
About the family: Vitamin B(1) in its active form thiamin pyrophosphate (TPP) is an essential coenzyme that is synthesised by coupling of pyrimidine and thiazole moieties in bacteria.
Source: RNAcentral